AAGUCGUAACAAGGUUUCCGUAGGUGAACCUGCGGAAGGAUCAUUAGUGAAUUUUAGGGCGUCUACUUGUAGAGCCUGACCUCCACUCUCUAACACUGUGCAUUUAUUGGCGAAAUUUUUAGUUGAUAAGGAAUUUUCGGAUUUCGGAUCACUAACUUUUUGCGGCUCAUUUUAUAACACCAGUCAAAGUAUGUAACGAAAUAUCGAAACAAAAAAAAACUUUCAACAACGGAUCUCUUGGCUCUC
This 246-nucleotide unclassified non-coding RNA is filed under the name fungal sp. Its description in RNAcentral is "partial internal transcribed spacer region". The stretch from base 1 to 46 matches the Rfam family "Eukaryotic small subunit ribosomal RNA", at positions 1786 to 1831 of the family's 1831-position model. The record is from RNAcentral. Lineage: Eukaryota; Fungi.